UCCUCAAUCUCAGUGGUCUCAUGACAUGGUGUCCUUGCUAUGGAUUCCCAUCAGAUGGAACAAUUUAAUCUGUGAAGUCCCAAUAAGUUUUUGUAUGUGGAGGUGUCUGGGUAUUUUCUGUUGGCUGUCCAUCUAGAAUGUCUCCGGUUCUUGUUAGCUCCUGGCUCUUAUCCGACUGAUUAUUGGAAUGUCUUCCAUGAGGAGAACUGUUUUGUUGUACAGUAAUACUUCAGAGUUUGGGACACAGCAGGUGCAUCUAACCUAAAGGAUCCAGGAAUGCAGAGGUCAAAUGGCUAAUGGACAAAGGAAUGCUGAGACCA
This is a long non-coding RNA of Mauremys reevesii (Reeves's turtle), 320 nucleotides long. RefSeq lists it as uncharacterized. The transcript has 3 exons. The record is from RefSeq and is a predicted model, not a curated record. Lineage: Eukaryota; Metazoa; Chordata; Testudines; Geoemydidae.